Hipposideros armiger (great roundleaf bat) is the source of this 529-nucleotide non-coding RNA. NCBI's taxonomy places the organism in Eukaryota, Metazoa, Chordata, Mammalia, Chiroptera, Hipposideridae. The record is from the annotation of a RefSeq genome assembly.
CAUCUGUCCCAAAGCCCAGUUCUAGUCACUGCCUUCUGUCCAAGGGAUCUCUUUCUUUUUGAGUAGGAUUUGAGCUUUGAGAGGGAAUUCUGCUCCUCUUAUCAUCUGGUCCCUUUCCUUCUAAGGCCCAGAAAAGGAAGACAUGCUGCGGAUUUCUGCUCUUUUUCUAGCUUUCCUGGCUCCUGCCACUCAGAUAUCUUCCAACUUGGAAGGGAGAAUGAUGUCAAUCACCAAGCAGCCUGGGUCGUAUGUUGCAAUCACUUGUGACAUUGUUAAUCAAAACAUCAACUACGUCCACUGGUACCAAUUCCGGGAAGGGAUGGCCCCACGCCGGCUUCUCUACUACCAGUUCUCCAGCUCAAAGUUUGUGGUGGAUGAGGGAAUCAGUUCAGAGAAGUACCAUGUUUAUGAAGGCCCAGGGAGGAGCUGUAAGUUUGUGCUCCGAAAUCUGGAAGAAAGUGAUUCUGGUGUGUAUUACUGUGCUGCCUGGGUGAUGCACAGUGAUUCAGACCUCCCUAGACUGCAGUGA